This 237-nucleotide unclassified non-coding RNA is filed under the name Glomeraceae sp. Its description in RNAcentral is "partial contains 5.8S ribosomal RNA and internal transcribed spacer 2". The stretch from base 1 to 71 matches the Rfam family "5.8S ribosomal RNA", at positions 84 to 154 of the family's 154-position model. Lineage: Eukaryota; Fungi; Glomeromycota; Glomeromycetes; Glomerales; Glomeraceae. The record is from RNAcentral.
GUGAAUCAUCAAAUCUUUGAACGCACAUUGCGCUCCCUGGUAUUCCGGAGAGUAUGCCUGUUUGAGGGUCAGUUUAAACAUCAAUCGGUGUGUGGGCUGCGUUGCGUGGUGACGCACCGGAUUUAGGUCGUCUUGCCUUCAGUUAAGUGACCUAAAAUUGUGCAUGAUUUUUUCGAACGUUUGUAAAUGCAUUUACGUACGUUUGCGAUAUCGAAUACUAGUUGUGGUCAUUCUCAU